This is a non-coding RNA of Solanum lycopersicum (tomato), 106 nucleotides long. The record is from Rfam. Lineage: Eukaryota; Viridiplantae; Streptophyta; Magnoliopsida; Solanales; Solanaceae.
GGGAUGUGAUGAGUGGUCAUUACUCGCAAUAAAUAUGCGAGAAGAGCGUUCCAGCCCAGCCUGGUUACGACAAAAUGGGCGCUCUUAUUAUUACCAAUCUGAUCCC